UGACCGGGCUGUCCGGCACUUUUACUUUGAAAAAAUUAGAGUGCUCAAAGCAGGCGCGAUGCCUGCAUAAUGGUGCAUGGAAUAAUGGAAUAGGACCUCGGUUCUAUUUCGUUGGUUCGUAGAACACGAGGUAAUGAUUAAGAGGGACAGACGGGGGCAUUCGUAUUGCGACGUUAGAGGUGAAAUUCUUGGAUUGUCGCAAGACGAACUACUGCGAAAGCAUUUGCCAAGAAUGUUUUCAUUAAUCAAGAACGAAAGUUAGAGGUUCGAAGGCGAUCAGAUACCGCCCUAGUUCUAACCAUAAACGAUGCCAGCUAGCGAUCCGCCACAGCUAAUACAACGGCUGGGCGGGCAGUUUCCGGGAAACCAAAGCUUUUGGGUUCCGGGGGAAGUAUGGUUGCAAAGCUGAAACUUAAAGGAAUUGACGGAAGGGCACCACCAGGAGUGGAGCCUGCGGCUUAAUUUGAC
Molecule: ribosomal RNA, 468 nt
Filed under: Feaella capensis
Lineage: Eukaryota; Metazoa; Arthropoda; Arachnida; Pseudoscorpiones; Feaellidae
Description: SSU rRNA
Rfam family: Eukaryotic small subunit ribosomal RNA
Source: RNAcentral